Molecule: long non-coding RNA, 1192 nt
Organism: Macrobrachium nipponense
Lineage: Eukaryota; Metazoa; Arthropoda; Malacostraca; Decapoda; Palaemonidae
Exons: 4
Source: RefSeq, a predicted model, not a curated record
CUCAUUAGACUGUCUACUCAUUAGUUCAGUAGCCAGUAGGUCUGUUUGUGCCUCAGUGUUCAGUGAUGUUUGUAUAUUAUUAUAUAAUAUAAUUGUUGAGAUUUGUUAUUGAAUAAAUACUGCACGAGAGUUUGAGACCUUUCGAAAUUAAACCAGCUGUGUAAUUGGAUACGUAAAUUUCAAUCUGAGGAUAAAAUAUAACAAUCCAUCUACCAUACAGCUCUGAAGAAUUUUCUCCUUCCGCUGUCAGAACAUACCGGCACUACCCCCCAAAGACAUAUUUCACGAUUGCCGCCAUCUCUGCAGCCAAAGCUAAUGGCGAUGCCUUGUCAAGAUGAAUAUACUGGAAACUGCAGAUUUAUUUGGAAUUGCAAAACAAAUGGUCAAUGUGUGAAGUGGCGUCCUUGGAGAAAUCAAUGCUACCGAAGUGGUCAAGAGCAAGACGAGAAUUGGAUGUAAUUCCCUAUCUCGGAAGGGGAUAUGCAUUGUUGACAAGAAGUGGAUGUGCGAUGGAAAGAGUUUAAGGCAGCCAACCAGGCAAGAGAAACUUCCGGAGAGGAAGAGGAAUUGGUAUAGGUGGUUACGAGAUUAAGGUUGUCCUUCAAAAGUGACUUGACCAAAUGAAGUGAAUUUGGCACCCAUAGAAGAAAAUUAUAACAAAUGCAGAAACCAUUGCAGCCACAUGAGAAUCCCAAGCAUAAAGCCACCUAGCGUUCAGGGGAGAUGAAUGCAGAGAUUAGCAACAGUAGUAAAGUAAUUGUAGAAUUUACACCAGAGAAAACUUGCAGGUGUAAUGAGCAAGCGAGAAAAUUAAGUCAACUUAAGAAUUCGAAAUGAUGAGCUGUGAAGGAAUUAAUCCAAGUAAGGUAAAUUUGGACACAAGAGGGGCUAAGCAAAGAAUAGAAGCUCUUUAAAAAUAUGCAGCGCAGCAAGAGAAGACAAGGUGCCAAGCAAGGAAUUUAUGAAUCGAAAAAAUUAAGACUAAGGGGCCAAGCAAGGAAUUUAUGUAUUGGAAAACUUAGGACAAGGGGGCAAGAAAGGAAUUUAUGUAUCGGAAAAAGUAAGACAAAGGGUUAAGCAAAGAAUUUAUGUAUCGGAAAGAAUAAUCUGCAUCAGAAUUGAUCAGAAUGAUUAUUAUUCAUUCACUGUAUUUUGAUUUAAAGCAAAAUAUUCCAAGGCAAAUAAUACAUUU